UGGGGCGGGACACGGGUGCGGACUGGCGCGCAGGGCCAAGGGGCGGGCUUUGGACGGCGCGGUUGCUAUGACGGCCAGCGCCGGGCCCCUCCCGCCCGGGCGCCGCCAUCUUGUUGUUGAUUCGGGCGGCGGGGAGCGGCGGCGCUGGGGCUCCGUGUUCCGGUGUCCCGGCCGGGCAGGCAGCGCCGGCCCCGGAGCUGCGCGCAGGAAGGAGCUCGGAACCCGCGGCGGUAACAUGAAACCAACAUGAUCACUGCAAGGAAGCAAAUUGCCAGUGCUGAGCUACCCCUCCCAGCCCAUGUGGCUCUCCCCAUGCUCCAGGAG
RNAcentral lists this long non-coding RNA (324 nucleotides) under Junco hyemalis (dark-eyed junco). Its description in RNAcentral is "lncRNA (ENSJHYG00000006378.1)". Lineage: Eukaryota; Metazoa; Chordata; Aves; Passeriformes; Passerellidae. The record is from RNAcentral.